GGAUGUGAGGGCGAUCUGGCUGCGACAUCUGUCACCCCAUUGAUUGCCAGGGUUGAUUCGGCUGAUCUGGCUGGCUAGGCGGGUGUCCCCUUCCUCCCUCAACGAUCCAUGUGCGUCCCUCCCGAAGCUGCAUGCUCGGUCGAAGAGAACGACCACCCCCAAUAGAGGAGGACCGUUCCUCGGUCAAGGGUAUACGAGUAGCUGCGCUCCCCUGCUAGAACCUCCAAACAAGCUCUCAAGAAAAGAGAAUAAGAAAUUUAUUAGGUAAGUUCACAGCAUCGGAAAGGUAUGUGUCC
This 296-nucleotide small nuclear RNA is filed under the name Octodon degus (degu). RNAcentral describes it as "7SK RNA (ENSODEG00000022910.1)". It matches the Rfam family "7SK RNA". Rfam says of the family: 7SK was discovered as an abundant small nuclear RNA in the mid-70s but a possible function has only recently been suggested. Two independent studies have found that 7SK RNA binds the CDK9/cyclin T complex (known as elongation factor P-TEFb). The record is from RNAcentral. Lineage: Eukaryota; Metazoa; Chordata; Mammalia; Rodentia; Octodontidae.